This 537-nucleotide ribosomal RNA is filed under the name Planososibia lysippus. RNAcentral describes it as "partial 28S ribosomal RNA". Lineage: Eukaryota; Metazoa; Arthropoda; Insecta; Phasmatodea; Lonchodidae. The record is from RNAcentral.
AGAGAGUUCAAGAGUACGUGAAACCGUUCAGGGGUAAACGGGAGAAAUCCUGAAUUCGAAAGGGACUGGAUUCAAUACCUACCGAGAUGUUGGGAUGCCCCUGCCAGAUGGCGCUGGUCGCCCGCGGCGAUUCAUUUCGCUUGCGGUGUCGUUCCCGGCGAUCACUCGGCGGACUGGGCAUGUACCUGGCUCCGGAGGGGUGCACUUCCUCCCUAGUAGAAACGUCGCGACCCGUUGGGUGCCGGCCUAAGGCCCGGGAUGGCAGACCGCGUGUCUCGUGGGGGUUCCCACGGGCGUGCGGACUCCUGGUGACCCGGCCGGCUGCCCGACGGUAUGACCAGAGGAGUCGAUCCGCUGAAUGGGAAACACUGUGGUUGUGUAGCGUCCGGCCCGGCGCCGAGGCGUGCGGGGAAUGAGGUGGAAACCGUGGGUGCCCGUGCUAAGCACGGCCCCGGCCCCGCUGCGUCCUCGGAUACGUCGGUGUCCUCGGACUGGAUCAGCACUCCCGUCUGCGACGCCCACCUUCGGAUGGUCUCC